AUUCCAGCUCCAAUAGCGUAUAUUAAAGUUGUUGCGGUUAAAAAGCUCGUAGUUGGAUUUCUGCCGAGGAUGACCGGUCCGCCCUGUGGGUGUGCAUCUGGCUCAGCCUUGGCAUCUUCCUGAAGAACGUAGCUGCACUUGACUGUGUGGUGCGGUAUUUAGGACAUUUACUUUGAGGAAAUUAGAGUGUUUCAAGCAAGCGCACGCUUUGAAUACAUUAGCAUGGAAUAAUAAGAUAGGACCUCGGUUCUAUUUUGUUGGUUUCUAGAGCUGAGGUAAUGAUUGAUAGGGAUAGUUGGGGGCAUUCGUAUUUAAACGACAGAGGUGAAAUUCUUGGACCGUUUGAAGACAAACUACUGCGAAAGCAUUUGCCAAGAAUGUUUUCAUUG
RNAcentral lists this ribosomal RNA (389 nucleotides) under Biecheleria sp. RNAcentral describes it as "partial small subunit ribosomal RNA". It matches the Rfam family "Eukaryotic small subunit ribosomal RNA", at positions 582 to 975 of the family's 1831-position model. The record is from RNAcentral. Lineage: Eukaryota; Dinophyceae; Suessiales; Biecheleriaceae.